UACGGAAGGCAGCAGUGGGGAAUAUUGCACAAUGGGCGCAAGCCUGAUGCAGCCAUGCCGCGUGUAUGAAGAAGGCCUUCGGGUUGUAAAGUACUUUCAGUCGUGAGGAAGGUGUUAAGGUUAAUAACCUUAGCAAUUGACGUUAGCGACAGAAGAAGCACCGGCUAACUCCGUGCCAGCAGCCGCGGUAAUACGGAGGGUGCGAGCGUUAAUCGGAAUUACUGGGCGUAAAGGGCACGCAGGCGGUUAAUUAAGUUGGAUGUGAAAUCCCCGGGGCUUAACCUGGGAAUGGCAUUCAAGACUGGUUAGCUAGAGUCUUGUAGAGGGGGUUAGAAUUCCAUGUGUAGCGGUGAAAUGCGUAGAGAUGUGGAGGAAUACCGGUGGCGAAGGCGGCCCCUGGACAAAGACCUGACGCUCAUGUGCGAAAGCGUGGGGA
Molecule: ribosomal RNA, 436 nt
Filed under: uncultured bacterium
Lineage: Bacteria
Description: bacterial SSU rRNA
Rfam family: Bacterial small subunit ribosomal RNA
Source: RNAcentral